This is a long non-coding RNA of Erpetoichthys calabaricus (reedfish), 479 nucleotides long. RefSeq lists it as uncharacterized. The record is from RefSeq and is a predicted model, not a curated record. Lineage: Eukaryota; Metazoa; Chordata; Cladistia; Polypteriformes; Polypteridae. The transcript is spliced from 2 exons.
UGUCGACGUCCUUAUCCGCGACGCUGGGCUUUAUGAGAUGUGCCCAUCAUCUUUGAAGCUGCUGUACUCUACCGCUUUUACUUUGCAGAAACGUUACCAUUUACAAUUACUUGUACGAAUAUGGUGCUGAUAUUGACGAGUCCUGAUGAUCUGGACAUUACAGUUUACAAACUUGUGUUCUACGACUGUCGGCUGCUCGCGUCUUUUAUCUAAUCUGACAGCGGGCCGCUUUGCUGACCGAGGUGGGUUCGACUUUCAAGCACUGACUUACUUCCACCUACAAGGAUGCAUCAGCAAAACACAGGAGAGAUAAGGUAUUAGCAAAAAAACAACCUACAACUUUCACUGAUUCAUUAGAUUAAAUCAUUUAGUUGAUGACAUGCAAAUCAAAGUAAACCGCAGUUCUGCACAAGCAGGACCAACAACAAAUGUUUUCAUUCUACUGUAAAUUAUAAUUAAAAUAAACCAAAUGGACAGAC